Molecule: unclassified non-coding RNA, 217 nt
Filed under: plant metagenome
Description: partial contains small subunit ribosomal RNA, internal transcribed spacer 1, and 5.8S ribosomal RNA
Source: RNAcentral
UCUCCGUAGGUGAACCUGCGGAGGGAUCAUUACAAGUGACCCCGGUCUUACCACCGGGAUGUUCAUAACCCUUUGUUGUCCGACUCUGUUGCCUCCGGGGCGACCCUGCCUUCGGGCGGGGACUCCGGGUGGACACUUCAAACUCUUGCGUAACUUUGCAGUCUGAGUAAACUUAAUUAAUAAAUUAAAACUUUUAACAACGGAUCUCUUGGUUCUG